UACGUAGGGGGCAAGCGUUGUUCGGAUUUACUGGGCGUAAAGAGCGCGCAGGCGGUCGUUCAAGUCGAGUGUGAAAGCCCCCGGCUCAACUGGGGAGGGUCACUCGAUACUGAUCGACUUGAAGGCAGGAGAGGGAAGCGGAAUUCCCGGUGUAGUGGUGAAAUGCGUAGAUAUCGGGAGGAACACCAGUGGCGAAGGCGGCUUCCUGGCCUGUUCUUGACGCUGAGGCGCGAAAGCUAGGGGAGCAAACGGG
RNAcentral lists this ribosomal RNA (253 nucleotides) under uncultured bacterium. Its description in RNAcentral is "partial 16S ribosomal RNA". It matches the Rfam family "Bacterial small subunit ribosomal RNA", at positions 524 to 776 of the family's 1533-position model. The record is from RNAcentral.